CCUACGGGGGGCAGCAGUAGAGAAUCUUUCACAAUGGGCGAAAGCCUGAUGGAGCAACGCCGCGUGCAGGAUGAAGGCCUUCGGGUUGUAAACUGCUUUUAUAAGCGAGAAAUAUGAUGGUACCUUAUGCAUAAGGAUCGGCUAACUACGUGCCAGCAGCCGCGGGCAUACGUAGGAGCCGAGCAUUAUCCGGAGUGACUGGGUGUAAAGAGUUGCGUAAGUGGCAUAAUAAGUAGCUAGUGAAAUCUGGUGGCUCAACCAUUCAGACUAUUAGCUAAACUGUUAAGCUCGAGACCGUUAGGGGUAACUGGAAUGUCUAGUGUAGGAGUGAAAUCCGUAGAUAUUAGAAGGAACACCAAUAGCGUAGGCAGGUUACUGGGACGGUACUGACACUAAGGCACGAAAGCGUAGGUAGCAAACGGGAUUAGAUACCCCGGUAGUC
RNAcentral lists this ribosomal RNA (442 nucleotides) under uncultured bacterium. RNAcentral describes it as "partial 16S ribosomal RNA". It matches the Rfam family "Bacterial small subunit ribosomal RNA", at positions 338 to 795 of the family's 1533-position model. The record is from RNAcentral.